RNAcentral lists this transfer RNA (72 nucleotides) under Acidobacteriota bacterium. RNAcentral describes it as "tRNA-Val". It matches the Rfam family "tRNA". Rfam says of the family: Transfer RNA (tRNA) molecules are approximately 80 nucleotides in length. Their secondary structure includes four short double-helical elements and three loops (D, anti-codon, and T loops). Lineage: Bacteria; Pseudomonadati; Acidobacteriota. The record is from RNAcentral.
GCCCGCUUAGCUCAGUGGUAGAGCGCCGCUUUCACACAGCGGAAGUCAGUAGUUCGAGUCUACUAGCGGGCA